Molecule: ribosomal RNA, 254 nt
Filed under: uncultured prokaryote
Description: partial 16S ribosomal RNA
Rfam family: Bacterial small subunit ribosomal RNA
Source: RNAcentral
UACGGAGGAUCCAAGCGUUAUCCGGAUUUACUGGGCGUAAAGAGUUGCGUAGGUGGUUCGCCAAGUUUUCGUUUAAAUGCCAAGGCUCAACCUUGGAAGUGACGAAAAAACUGGCGAACUCGAGAAUGAGAGAGGUCACUGGAAUUCCUUGUGUAGGAGUGAAAUCCGUAGAUAUAAGGAGGAACACCAAUGGCGUAGGCAGGUGACUGGCUCAUUUCUGACACUGAGGCACGAAAGCGUGGGGAGCGAACGGG